GAUGAACGCUGGCGGCGUGCCUAAUACAUGCAAGUCGAGCGAACGGACGAGAAGCUUGCUUCUCUGACGUUAGCGGCGGACGGGUGAGUAACACGUGGAUAACCUACCUAUAAGACUGGGAUAACUUCGGGAAACCGGAGCUAAUACCGGAUAAUAUUUUGAACCGCAUGGUUCAAUAGUGAAAGACGGUCUUGCUGUCACUUAUAGAUGGAUCCGCGCUGCAUUAGCUAGUUGGUAAGGUAACGGCUUACCAAGGCAACGAUGCAUAGCCUACCUGAGAGGGUGGUCGGCCACACUGGAACUGAGACACGGUCCAGACUCCUACGGGAGGCAGCAGUAGGGAAUCUUCCGCAAUGGGCGAAAGCCUGACGGAGCAACGCCGCGUGAGUGAUGAAGGUCUUCGGAUCGUAAAACUCUGUUAUUAGGGAAGAACAUAUGUGUAAGUAACUGUGCACAUCUUGACGGUACCUAAUCAGAAAGCCACGGCUAACUACGUG
This 497-nucleotide ribosomal RNA is filed under the name uncultured bacterium. RNAcentral's name for it is "partial 16S ribosomal RNA". It matches the Rfam family "Bacterial small subunit ribosomal RNA", at positions 28 to 507 of the family's 1533-position model. The record is from RNAcentral.